RNAcentral lists this unclassified non-coding RNA (357 nucleotides) under Melitaea cinxia (Glanville fritillary). RNAcentral's name for it is "misc RNA ENSMCXG00005003311.1". Lineage: Eukaryota; Metazoa; Arthropoda; Insecta; Lepidoptera; Nymphalidae. The record is from RNAcentral.
AUGGAAACCACCAACGACAUGGACAACUUCAACUUCUUCGAAUCCACAAAAACCGUGGAAUUCACCUACCCAAUCUGGUGGUCAACAAAGGCCACUCCAACCGAAUGUGAUAAAUCAGUUACAAGAUUAUAUUUGCAGAGACGUAAAUGGCUAUUAUUUAUUGGAAAACAAAUGUGACGAGUACAUUUUAUGCAAGAACAAUACCGCAUACAAAAACAUGUGUCCUGAUGGUCUUCAUUUUAAUCCUGUAGCCCGCUAUCCCGCUUACCCCUGCGCUUACCCUACAGAAGUUAAAUGUCAAAUCCCGUCUAUAAAACAGCCAGCACAGCCAACUAGCGAAUGUCCGCAUCGUUUCGG